RNAcentral lists this transfer RNA (95 nucleotides) under Myurella julacea. RNAcentral describes it as "tRNA-Leu". The stretch from base 1 to 85 matches the Rfam family "tRNA". Rfam says of the family: Transfer RNA (tRNA) molecules are approximately 80 nucleotides in length. The record is from RNAcentral. Lineage: Eukaryota; Viridiplantae; Streptophyta; Bryopsida; Hypnales; Plagiotheciaceae.
GCGGAUAUGAUGGAAUUGGUAGACAUGCCAGGUUUAGGUUCUGGUAACCAUAAUGUUUGUGGGGGUUCGAGUCCCUCUAUCCGUACAAGUCGGAA